GCCUCUUUCUGCAGCUCAAGAAGCUCAUUUAGUCUAUGACAGCAGUCUACCUGGUCUAGGAAGGAUCCAUCUAUUUCACUUUGCCACCCAUCCCCAAAUUCAUCCUGGACUCCUCUCCCAGAGCAACCUUGGACCAUGGAAAUAUGCUUCAGAGUUACAUAUUGCAGAUGGAUUUGCUCCUGGCCAGGGGAGAAUGUGCCAAGGAAUCCCCAGGUUCUUGUGUUGGCUGUAACAGAACAAAGGACCUAUGAAAGUGCUGCUGACUUGGGGUGCAAAACUGAGAGUUGGUCAUGUCUCCCAAGAGGAAAAAGAACGCACGAA
This 321-nucleotide long non-coding RNA is filed under the name Fukomys damarensis (Damara mole-rat). RNAcentral describes it as "lncRNA (ENSFDAG00000021883.1)". The record is from RNAcentral. Lineage: Eukaryota; Metazoa; Chordata; Mammalia; Rodentia; Bathyergidae.